Betta splendens (Siamese fighting fish) is the source of this 2668-nucleotide long non-coding RNA. RefSeq lists it as uncharacterized. NCBI's taxonomy places the organism in Eukaryota, Metazoa, Chordata, Actinopteri, Anabantiformes, Osphronemidae. The transcript has 10 exons. The record is from RefSeq and is a predicted model, not a curated record.
CAGAGAGGGAAACGUGAUAGGAGCGGGCAGAAUGGAGAGUGACGCAGAAAACACUCAAGUUGACGCAGUCGCCAAAAUAAUAUUUUUGGCCUCAUUGUUCUGCAGCGAUGAAAUUGCUGAUCUCCGUGUAAUCUUACACCCACACCUUGUAACCAAUCGAGUUGGCCUGACAUUUUUUUUAGACGCUUAAUAGCGCGAGCGCCGGGCCAAGGUAUAAGCGCAUAAUGUGCGGAGAUGUGCGCCCGCAUGCGUAAAACGGCAGCCGCCGCGGCCAGCGCCGCGUGUUUCCCUCCCAGCGCGCUGAGGCUUUAUUAUUUGUGACUGCCCUGUACUCGGAGCAUGCAGGGAUGGAGAAUUCAAGGAGGGGGGAGAAGAAAACUGUAUAUCAGGGAUACAGUCACCUCUAGAGGACACUAUUGUUCACCAGCCAUACAUCAACCGGCGUCUGCUCCUUACAAUUAGCCUUUUAAUUAACCUAACCCCAUUAAGGCUGUUUGCUCACGUCCUGCCGUUUUCACGUGGGCUCUAAGGCAGCAUUUGUGAAUUAUAUUUUCUUCAGAGUGGACUGUGACUAUUCAGGAGCAAAAUAUGGCCGUAAAAGUUCCCGUGUUUUUGAGUUCUAAUUACCCUGACCGCUCGUUGGCAGUGAUGGCGGCCGCUAAUUAGCCCACCGCCUCUCUCAUCGCCCGGGCCGAGGCAUCUAGUCUGACGUCUGGAUGCUGGCGGAUGUGUUGACGUCCGCUGGUCACGUGACGCACGCCCGCACAACAAAACAAAGUGUUCAGUCUGAAGACGCCGAUGACACUCCGCCGCGUGGUCACGCCGCGUGUUUACCAUUAUCCAUUUACCAUUUAGAAUUUAAAUGAAAACACAAUUAGCGGUUUAAUUGGCCAUUUUACGGAAGAAUAAUUAACUUCCCGUUUAUGUGCACAGUUAAUUGACAGCCGUUUGAAAGUGAGGAGUUAGUUUUAAUCACACUGAAGUUAUUUCCUGAAAUCAUAGUUCUAAAUUUGAGGAAAUGCCUGCUGACAUUACCAGUCGUAGGGCGCGUCCACGUGAGCGUGCGCGAGAGGUGAAGAGCUGGAAAAAGACGACGCACCUUUUUUGUUAUUCUCUUGCAUAUGUGCAUAGCUCUAUUGGUUAAUAAAGUGUUUGCAGGUGUCAAACAUUAGCAGCAGACAAGACAAUGACGUCAUCUCAAGGCCACAUGAUGCUUGUGGUUCCCCACAACACCCAGAUGAGCGACUGAUCGUUGCCUGGAAGGUCGCGUCUGGAUGAGAGAGCAUGCCACUGCGUGAUUGGCUAAAAGAGGUGCCAGUCAUCGCCCACACGUUUUCCUUUGGUUAUUGACGGAGUCCAGCCUACGUCACACAGAUCUCAAAACUGGCCCCGUGCAGGGAGACGAUUUCUCAUCAGGCUCCAGCAGCAGCAGCACCGAGCUCAUUCACGGAGGAGUCCGAUAUCUACAGAAAGCCAUCAUGAAAUUGGAUUACAAACAGGACAACACGGCGAUGCUCGAAUGAACCUCGCCAUCGCCCUCACUGCUGCCAGGUAUGGGGCUGCCAUGGCCAAUUAUACUGAAGUGGUGCACCUACUGAAGAGGGCAGAGCCACAGACGGGGAAGGAGAGGGUCCGCGGAGCGCACUGCAGGGAUGUGAUCACAGUUUCAAAAGGCUCCCUCAGUCACUGCCACUGAGCCACCCUGUGACACAAAGAGGCAAGAGGGAAAUUAGGGCAGGAAUUUGAUGUCAGAGCCAAAUGUGUUAUCAAUGCCACGGGACCUUUUACGGACGCGCCGCGGAAAAUGGAUGAUCAGAAGAACCCUGACAUCUGUCAGCCCAGUGCUGGGGUGCACAUCGUCAUCCCGGGCUAUUACAGGUUGCACGUUGAACUAGGACGGUGGAGCUGUGCACGGCCUCAACAGCACCUCCUCAAGCCACAAGAUCCACGUUUCAGCGGAUUCCAGAUUACAGGGACGUAUUCUGCAUCAGCAGCACAUUCUAAAGUUUUGACCAAACAGCAUCCUGUGCCGGAGAGCUGCUUGGAGCCUGGUGCCAUGGGACGAGCUCAGACGGAUGGAUUUCCACGCUAAUCCGUUUGAUGUAGCGGCGGGUCAGCAGAUAGCGGCGGAGCAACAGACACAUUGUUGGAUCCCCGCAGCAGCUGUCAGUUUGAGCGAGCGGCCGCCUCGCCCGGACAGAAUAAUCUAACGGGAGGAGGAAUAAAAGGAGGCCGGGAUCGCAGCCGCUCGCUGCAAGACGCCGCUUCCGUCUCCGUUAGUGGGACUGAGGAUAAAGCCGGCGCUUUUUUUAAAAGACAUCCCUCACGAUCCAAAACAGGCAAGCGGAGGAGUGAGGAGGUUCAUUUAUGACAAUGGGGCGUGAUGACAUCACACCAUAAAGCAGUCGGCGGGGUCAGACGGCGUGUGCCGCGCAGACGCCGAGGAUCGUGUCAACAACUGUGGGUUUUUUUUAUGGUACAAGUUGGAGGCUCUAACUCAGCAAUUCCCCACGGACAAACAGUUUAACACAACAAGCAUCAUUUUGUAAUGCCUUUUUAAUUAAUUUUUAAUAAACAAGCCAACUUGUAUUUAAAACUUCCUUCAAACAGAUCUUUCAGUGAUUAUUAAGAGCACCAGCACAAACUGUAUUGACUGAAAUGCAAAUGC